GCGGGGGUGCCCGAGCCUGGACAAAGGGGCCAGACUUAAGAUCUGGUGGCGUAGGCCUGCCCGGGUUCGAAUCCCGGCCCCCGCA
Molecule: transfer RNA, 85 nt
Filed under: Thermofilum sp. ex4484_79
Lineage: Archaea; Thermoproteati; Thermoproteota; Thermoprotei; Thermofilales; Thermofilaceae
Also listed under: 1 other name
Description: tRNA-Leu
Rfam family: tRNA
About the family: Transfer RNA (tRNA) molecules are approximately 80 nucleotides in length. Their secondary structure includes four short double-helical elements and three loops (D, anti-codon, and T loops). Further hydrogen bonds mediate the characteristic L-shaped molecular structure. tRNAs have two regions of fundamental functional importance: the anti-codon, which is responsible for specific mRNA codon recognition, and the 3' end, to which the tRNAs corresponding amino acid is attached (by aminoacyl-tRNA synthetases). tRNAs cope with the degeneracy of the genetic code in two manners: having more than one tRNA (with a specific anti-codon) for a particular amino acid; and 'wobble' base-pairing, i.e. permitting non-standard base-pairing at the 3rd anti-codon position.
Source: RNAcentral